This 307-nucleotide ribosomal RNA is filed under the name uncultured bacterium. RNAcentral's name for it is "partial 16S ribosomal RNA". It matches the Rfam family "Bacterial small subunit ribosomal RNA", at positions 506 to 807 of the family's 1533-position model. The record is from RNAcentral.
AGACAGCAGUCGCCGCGGUAAUACGUAGGGUGCAAGCGUUAAUCGGAAUUACUGGGCGUAAAGCGUGCGCAGGCGGUUCUAUAAGACAGAUGUGAAAUCCCCGGGCUCAACCUGGGAACUGCAUUUGUGACUGUAGAGCUGGAGUGCGGCAGAGGGGGAUGGAAUUCCGCGUGUAGCAGUGAAAUGCGUAGAUAUGCGGAGGAACACCGAUGGCGAAGGCAAUCCCCUGGGCCUGCACUGACGCUCGUGCACGAAAGCGUGGGGAGCAAACAGGAUUAGAUACCCGAGUAGUCCCUGUCUCUUAUAC